Molecule: ribosomal RNA, 869 nt
Filed under: uncultured organism
Description: bacterial SSU rRNA
Rfam family: Eukaryotic small subunit ribosomal RNA
Source: RNAcentral
CGGAGAGGGAGCCUGAGAAACAGCCCUACAUCCAAGGAAGGCAGCAGGCGCGUAAAUUUCGCAAUCGUGAUACCCCGACGAAGUGACCAGAAGUACAGAGGUUAUUGCUCUAUGCAAAAACCAUCUGAAUGAGUACCAUUUAAAACACGUAACGAUGAUCCACUAGAGGGCAAGUCUGGUGCCAGCAGCUGCGGUAAUUCCAGCUCUAGUAGCGUAUAUUAAUGUUGCUGCAGUUAGAAAGCUCGUAGUUCGUUUUCGGGGCCUGAAGUCUUGGUUCGGCGGCUUUUAUGUCGACUGUAUACCUUGAUUGUUUCAGGCUCUUCCUUUAGGCACCUUUUACUAGGCUGCCUAAACUUCUACUGAGAUCAAAUAGACACGUUCCACGUAUACUUACGUAUGAACUAUCCAGCUUGGAAUAGAACCUUAGGACUCGUGGGUUUUAUACGAUGCAAUCUACGAUUAAUAAGCCAUAGGAAACGGAGGGGAUGCUUGUACCAGCGCGCCAGAGGUGAAAUUCUCGGAUUGCGCUGAGACAGUCUUAUGCGAAAGCGUUCAUCAAUUAGUUCUCCUUUGAUCAAGAACGAAAGUAGCGGGAUCGAAAACGAUCAGAUACCGUUGUAGUCGCUACCAUAAACUAUACCGAUCCUCGAUUCUUUGGCUUUUUCAUUUAUAAAACCAAAGAGCAGAGCGUAGGAAACUAGAAUAUUUGGGUUCCGGGGAGAGUAUUGUCGCAAGGCUGAAAUUUAAAGGAAUUGACGGAAUCGCACCACAAGGAGUGGAGCCUGCGGCUUAUUUUGACUCAACACGGAGAAACUUACCAGGUCCAGACUGAAGUAGGAUUGACAGCGCUAGAGACCUUUCAUGAUUUU